Molecule: ribosomal RNA, 380 nt
Filed under: uncultured eukaryote
Lineage: Eukaryota
Description: partial 18S ribosomal RNA
Rfam family: Eukaryotic small subunit ribosomal RNA
Source: RNAcentral
CAAUAGCGUAUAUUAAAGUUGUUGCGGUUAAAAAGCUCGUAGUUGGAUUUCUGCCGAGGACGACCGGUCCGCCCUCUGGGUGUGUAUCUGGUUUGGCCUGGGCAUCUUCUUGGAGAACGUAGCUGCACUUGACUGUGUGGUGCGGUGUCCAGGACUUUUACUUUGAGGAAAUUAGAGUGUUUCAAGCAGGCACACGCCUUGAAUACAUUAGCAUGGAAUAAUAAGAUAGGACCUCGGUUCUAUUUUGUUGGUUUCUAGAGCUGAGGUAAUGAUUAAUAGGGAUAGUUGGGGGCAUUCGUACUCAGCAGUCAGAGGUGAAAUUCUUGGAUUUGCUGAAGACGGACUAGUGCGAAAGCAUUUGCCAAGGAUGUUUUCAUUAA